UCAUCUUUCUAUGUAAAAAUACACGCUCGAAGGAUUAAAUCACUAUAGAUUUUUCUUCAUUGUUAGUACAGGUAUAUAAAAUUUAGUUAGAUUUGGUUUUCUUAUGUAUAAAUAUAUAUCUGUGUUAAAAAUAAAAUAUUCAAAAGAUAGAAUUAUUAUAAAACUUUUUCAUCGUAUAUAUAAACUGCAAAAUAAUAUUAAUCUUCUCUAUUACAGAUUAAUCGAAUUUUAUUUAAAAUUUAUCGAAUGAAAGUUUAUUUAAUGAUUUUUGUCAAAGAGAUACAGAUUAAUGGAACCGCAGCGCGCUAAAAUUUACUUUAGAGUGUAUGUAACCAGGUGUCCUAUAAGCGCAAGCACUGAAACCAAAUUAAUGUAACGAAAUAUCUAAUAUACGUUCCACGGUUGGCUAACUGGCUACCCUAAAAUUGCGUUUUAGAUAUUUGGUCAGAAGCCAAGAAUCACAGCUACACAGAAAACCGUCUGGAAGAGGAAAUAAGAUUUGCCAAUAAGAAUGCCAAUAAAAUUUCCAUGAAGAAAAAUAUCUGAAAAUUCAUUAUCAGCUGUCACGAACAAAUAAAACAUUUCUAUGACAUUUAAUGUGUGAUAUAAAAAGGACGAAAAUGGUAGGUUUUAUCUUCUAUAUAUUUUGAAUUAUGUUAUAAAUAUUAAGUUAAUGAUUCGAGAAAUUUAAAAUCAUGUUUAAAAAAAUGAAUCAGAUUCGAGAUAGAAAAAUA
This is a long non-coding RNA of Apis cerana (Asiatic honeybee), 734 nucleotides long. RefSeq lists it as uncharacterized. Lineage: Eukaryota; Metazoa; Arthropoda; Insecta; Hymenoptera; Apidae. The record is from RefSeq and is a predicted model, not a curated record.